RNAcentral lists this ribosomal RNA (253 nucleotides) under uncultured bacterium. RNAcentral describes it as "partial 16S ribosomal RNA". It matches the Rfam family "Bacterial small subunit ribosomal RNA", at positions 524 to 776 of the family's 1533-position model. The record is from RNAcentral.
GACAGAGAUCCCAAGCGUUAGGCGGAAUCACUGGGCUUAAAGCGUGUGUAGGCGGAUUUGUAAGUACCUUGUGAAAUCCCACGGCUCAACCGUGGAACUGCUUGGUAUACUGCUUAUCUUGGGCCAUCUAGGGGCGAGCGGAACAAACGGUGGAGCGGUGAAAUGCGUAGAUAUCGUUUGGAACGCCAAUGGUGAAAACAGCUCGCUGGGGAUGUGCCGACGCUGAGAUACGAAAGCCAGGGGAGCGAACGGG